This 2901-nucleotide ribosomal RNA is filed under the name Escherichia coli. RNAcentral describes it as "23S ribosomal RNA". It matches the Rfam family "Bacterial large subunit ribosomal RNA". Lineage: Bacteria; Pseudomonadati; Pseudomonadota; Gammaproteobacteria; Enterobacterales; Enterobacteriaceae. The record is from RNAcentral.
UUAAGCGACUAAGCGUACACGGUGGAUGCCCUGGCAGUCAGAGGCGAUGAAGGACGUGCUAAUCUGCGAUAAGCGUCGGUAAGGUGAUAUGAACCGUUAUAACCGGCGAUUUCCGAAUGGGGAAACCCAGUGUGAUUCGUCACACUAUCAUUAACUGAAUCCAUAGGUUAAUGAGGCGAACCGGGGGAACUGAAACAUCUAAGUACCCCGAGGAAAAGAAAUCAACCGAGAUUCCCCAGUAGCGGCGAGCGAACGGGGAGCAGCCCAGAGCCUGAAUCAGUGUGUGUGUUAGUGGAAGCGUCUGGAAAGGCGUGCGAUACAGGGUGACAGCCCCGUACACAAAAAUGCACAUGCUGUGAGCUCGAUGAGUAGGGCGGGACACGUGGUAUCCUGUCUGAAUAUGGGGGGACCAUCCUCCAAGGCUAAAUACUCCUGACUGACCGAUAGUGAACCAGUACCGUGAGGGAAAGGCGAAAAGAACCCCGGCGAGGGGAGUGAAAAAGAACCUGAAACCGUGUACGUACAAGCAGUGGGAGCACAGAGCAAUCUGUGUGACUGCGUACCUUUUGUAUAAUGGGUCAGCGACUUAUAUUCUGUAGCAAGGUUAACCGAAUAGGGGAGCCGAAGGGAAACCGAGUCUUAACUGGGCGUUAAGUUGCAGGGUAUAGACCCGAAACCCGGUGAUCUAGCCAUGGGCAGGUUGAAGGUUGGGUAACACUAACUGGAGGACCGAACCGACUAAUGUUGAAAAAUUAGCGGAUGACUUGUGGCUGGGGGUGAAAGGCCAAUCAAACCGGGAGAUAGCUGGUUCUCCCCGAAAGCUAUUUAGGUAGCGCCUCGUGAAUUCAUCUCCGGGGGUAGAGCACUGUUUCGGCAAGGGGGUCAUCCCGACUUACCAACCCGAUGCAAACUGCGAAUACCGGAGAAUGUUAUCACGGGAGACACACGGCGGGUGCUAACGUCCGUCGUGAAGAGGGAAACAACCCAGACCGCCAGCUAAGGUCCCAAAGUCAUGGUUAAGUGGGAAACGAUGUGGGAAGGCCCAGACAGCCAGGAUGUUGGCUUAGAAGCAGCCAUCAUUUAAAGAAAGCGUAAUAGCUCACUGGUCGAGUCGGCCUGCGCGGAAGAUGUAACGGGGCUAAACCAUGCACCGAAGCUGCGGCAGCGACGCUUAUGCGUUGUUGGGUAGGGGAGCGUUCUGUAAGCCUGCGAAGGUGUGCUGUGAGGCAUGCUGGAGGUAUCAGAAGUGCGAAUGCUGACAUAAGUAACGAUAAAGCGGGUGAAAAGCCCGCUCGCCGGAAGACCAAGGGUUCCUGUCCAACGUUAAUCGGGGCAGGGUGAGUCGACCCCUAAGGCGAGGCCGAAAGGCGUAGUCGAUGGGAAACAGGUUAAUAUUCCUGUACUUGGUGUUACUGCGAAGGGGGACGGAGAAGGCUAUGUUGGCCGGGCGACGGUUGUCCCGGUUUAAGCGUGUAGGCUGGUUUUCCAGGCAAAUCCGGAAAACUAAGGCUGAGGCGUGAUGACGAGGCACUACGGUGCUGAAGCAACAAAUGCCCUGCUUCCAGGAAAAGCCUCUAAGCAUCAGGUAACAUCAAAUCGUACCCCAAACCGACACAGGUGGUCAGGUAGAGAAUACCAAGGCGCUUGAGAGAACUCGGGUGAAGGAACUAGGCAAAAUGGUGCCGUAACUUCGGGAGAAGGCACGCUGAUAUGUAGGUGAAGUCCCUCGCGGAUGGAGCUGAAAUCAGUCGAAGAUACCAGCUGGCUGCAACUGUUUAUUAAAAACACAGCACUGUGCAAACACGAAAGUGGACGUAUACGGUGUGACGCCUGCCCGGUGCCGGAAGGUUAAUUGAUGGGGUUAGCGCAAGCGAAGCUCUUGAUCGAAGCCCCGGUAAACGGCGGCCGUAACUAUAACGGUCCUAAGGUAGCGAAAUUCCUUGUCGGGUAAGUUCCGACCUGCACGAAUGGCGUAAUGAUGGCCAGGCUGUCUCCACCCGAGACUCAGUGAAAUUGAACUCGCUGUGAAGAUGCAGUGUACCCGCGGCAAGACGGAAAGACCCCGUGAACCUUUACUAUAGCUUGACACUGAACAUUGAGCCUUGAUGUGUAGGAUAGGUGGGAGGCUUGGAAGUGUGGACGCCAGUCUGCAUGGAGCCGACCUUGAAAUACCACCCUUUAAUGUUUGAUGUUCUAACGUUGACCCGUGAUCCGGGUUGCGGACAGUGUCUGGUGGGUAGUUUGACUGGGGCGGUCUCCUCCUAAAGAGUAACGGAGGAGCACGAAGGUUGGCUAAUCCUGGUCGGACAUCAGGAGGUUAGUGCAAUGGCAUAAGCCAGCUUGACUGCGAGCGUGACGGCGCGAGCAGGUGCGAAAGCAGGUCAUAGUGAUCCGGUGGUUCUGAAUGGAAGGGCCAUCGCUCAACGGAUAAAAGGUACUCCGGGGAUAACAGGCUGAUACCGCCCAAGAGUUCAUAUCGACGGCGGUGUUUGGCACCUCGAUGUCGGCUCAUCACAUCCUGGGGCUGAAGUAGGUCCCAAGGGUAUGGCUGUUCGCCAUUUAAAGUGGUACGCGAGCUGGGUUUAGAACGUCGUGAGACAGUUCGGUCCCUAUCUGCCGUGGGCGCUGGAGAACUGAGGGGGGCUGCUCCUAGUACGAGAGGACCGGAGUGGACGCAUCACUGGUGUUCGGGUUGUCAUGCCAAUGGCACUGCCCGGUAGCUAAAUGCGGAAGAGAUAAGUGCUGAAAGCAUCUAAGCACGAAACUUGCCCCGAGAUGAGUUCUCCCUGACUCCUUGAGAGUCCUGAAGGAACGUUGAAGACGACGACGUUGAUAGGCCGGGUGUGUAAGCGCAGCGAUGCGUUGAGCUAACCGGUACUAAUGAACCGUGAGGCUUAACCU